CCUACGGGUGGCAGCAGUGGGGAAUAUUGGACAAUGGGGGCAACCCUGAUCCAGCCAUACCGCGUGUGUGAAGAAGGCCCUCGGGUUGUAAAGCACUUUCAGUGAGGAAGAACGCCUGGUGGUUAAUACCCAUCAGGAAAGACAUCACUCACAGAAGAAGCACCGGCUAACUCCGUGCCAGCAGCCGCGGUAAUACGGAGGGUGCGAGCGUUAAUCGGAAUUACUGGGCGUAAAGCGCGCGUAGGUGGCUUGAUAAGCCGGUUGUGAAAGCCCCGGGCUCAACCUGGGAACGGCAUCCGGAACUGUCAAGCUAGAGUGCAGGAGAGGAAGGUAGAAGUCCCGGUGUAGCGGUGAAAUGCGUAGAGAUCGGGAGGAAGACCAGUGGCGAAGGCGGCCUUGUGGACUGACACUGACACUGAGGUGCGAAUGCGUGGGUAGCAGACAGGAUUAGAUACCCCAGUAGUC
This 465-nucleotide ribosomal RNA is filed under the name Vreelandella stevensii. RNAcentral describes it as "partial 16S ribosomal RNA". It matches the Rfam family "Bacterial small subunit ribosomal RNA", at positions 338 to 795 of the family's 1533-position model. The record is from RNAcentral. Lineage: Bacteria; Pseudomonadati; Pseudomonadota; Gammaproteobacteria; Oceanospirillales; Halomonadaceae.